RNAcentral lists this ribosomal RNA (253 nucleotides) under uncultured bacterium. RNAcentral's name for it is "partial 16S ribosomal RNA". It matches the Rfam family "Bacterial small subunit ribosomal RNA", at positions 524 to 776 of the family's 1533-position model. The record is from RNAcentral.
GACGGAGGGUGCUAGCGUUGUUCGGAAUCACUGGGCGUAAAGGGCGCGUAGGCGGCUUGAGGUGUCGGCUGUGAAAGCCCGGGGCUCAACCCCGGAGGUGCAGCCGAAACUCUUUGGCUCGAGGUCGGAAGAGGAGGGUGGAAUACCCAGUGUAGAGGUGAAAUUCGUAGAUAUUGGGUGGAACACCGGUGGCGAAAGCGGCUCUCUGGUCCGAACCUGACGCUGAGGCGCGAAAGCGUGGGGAGCAAACAGG